Non-coding RNA from Myotis lucifugus (little brown bat), 75 nucleotides. The record is from Rfam. Lineage: Eukaryota; Metazoa; Chordata; Mammalia; Chiroptera; Vespertilionidae.
GCCAGUUCUCAGGUGACACACCCCAGAAUCGGGCUCCCUCCUCUCUGGUUCUGGGUGCAUCACCCAAGAACCGCA